Molecule: ribosomal RNA, 458 nt
Filed under: uncultured bacterium
Lineage: Bacteria
Description: bacterial SSU rRNA
Rfam family: Bacterial small subunit ribosomal RNA
Source: RNAcentral
UAGUCCACGCCGUAAACGAUGUCUAUUAGGAGUCUGUGGCCUUGAGCCGUGGGUUCCAAAGCUAACGCAUUAAAUAGACCGCCUGGGGAGUACGGUCGCAAGAUUAAAACUCAAAGGAAUUGACGGGGCCCGCACAAGCGGUGGAGCAUGUGGUUUAAUUCGAUGCUACGCGAAAACCUUACCUGGGCUUGACAUCCUAGGCUACCCUGGGAAACCAGGGGUUCUCUUCGGAGACCUAGUGACAGGUGCUGCAUGGCUGUCGUCAGCUCGUGUUGUGAGAUGUUGGGUUAAGUCCCGCAACGAGCGCAACCCCUGUUGUUAGUUGCCAGCGAGUGAUGUCGGGAACUCUAACAAGACUGCCAGUGCAAACUGUGAGGAAGGUGGGGAUGACGUCAAAUCAUCACGGGCCCUUAGUCCUGGGGCUACGACACGUGCUACAAUGGUAGGUACAGAGAGCA